Molecule: ribosomal RNA, 491 nt
Filed under: uncultured bacterium
Lineage: Bacteria
Description: partial 16S ribosomal RNA
Rfam family: Bacterial small subunit ribosomal RNA
Source: RNAcentral
AUUGAACGCUGGCGGCAUGCUUUACACAUGCAAGUCGAACGGUAACAGGCCUUCGGGUGCUGACGAGUGGCGAACGGGUGAGUAAUGCAUCGGAACGUACCCAGAGGUGGGGAUAACGCAGCGAAAGCUGUGCUAAUACCGCAUGUGAUCUGAGGAUGAAAGCGGGGGACCGAGCAGCAAUGUUUGGCCUCGCGCCUUUGGAGCGGCCGAUGUCGGAUUAGCUAGUUGGUGGGGUAAAGGCCUACCAAGGCGACGAUCCGUAGCUGGUCUGAGAGGACGACCAGCCACACUGGGACUGAGACACGGCCCAGACUCCUACGGGAGGCAGCAGUGGGGAAUUUUGGACAAUGGGCGCAAGCCUGAUCCAGCAAUGCCGCGUGCGGGAAGAAGGCCUUCGGGUUGUAAACCGCUUUUGGCAGGAACGAAACGGUGUCCGCUAAUACCGGGCGCUAAUGACGGUACCUGCAGAAUAGGCACCGGCUAACUACGUG